This 518-nucleotide ribosomal RNA is filed under the name Ascomycota sp. RNAcentral describes it as "eukaryotic LSU rRNA". The stretch from base 176 to 329 matches the Rfam family "5.8S ribosomal RNA". The record is from RNAcentral. Lineage: Eukaryota; Fungi; Ascomycota.
AGGAUCAUUACAAGAAUCGAGGCUGACGGUGCCUACUCCAUAGGUUCCGUCUAGUCCCGCUCUCCACCUUGCCUACUGCACCGUUUGUUGCUUCCUGGCGGCGGCGUCCCCGUCGCCAGGGCCUUUUGAAAGCCAAGUAUAAGCAUUGAAACUUCUGACCUACACUAAAUCGUACAACUUUCAACAAUGGAUCUCUUGGUUCUGGCAUCGAUGAAGAACGCAGCGAAAUGCGAUAAGUAGUGUGAAUUGCAGAAUUCAGUGAAUCAUCGAAUCUUUGAACGCACAUUGCGCCCCUUGGUAUUCCAUGGGGCAUGCCUGUUCGAGCGUCAUCUAAACCCUCAAGCCCCAUGGCUUGGUGUUGGGUGUCUGUCCCUGCUCCCCGCGCGGACUCGCCCCAAAUGCAUUGGCAGCGGCCUCCACGCUUCUCGCGCAGCACAUUGCGCAGCGGAGCACGGCUAGGCGCGCGUCCAGCAAGCAACCCCCAAGUUUGACCUCGGAUCAGGUAGGGAUACCCGCUG